GCUGCUGGUGGUGUAACUGUAUAGGUAAAGCUAACCUUAAAAUUUUAUUUUUAUGAACUUUAAAAUGUUGCCAUUGAAAUUUAAUGUCUUUUAGCUUAGGUGUACUGAUUACUUAUUGCUCCACAACAAUUUGUACGGGUUUAGAGAGUAGAUAAAUGCAGUUUAGUUUAAUGGUAGGACUGUUCCAUCGAUUAAACUUCGUUUUAUUCUGUGCAGCUUUGAAUACCUGGCUGGAUGGUAAUGGUUACCCUUAAUUCUCAUGUUGUUUGCAAGGUCUUAAGAUCCAAUUGAAGUUCACAAGGCAAGUCAACAUGUGGCUGGAUGGUUGUUUGCUUAAUGUCUUGUCUUGGAAGUGUGCCGUGCUGAACAUCUAUUUUUAUGCUAAGCCCUCUGUGAGCCACGUGUCUCUUUGGUGCUAGCAUUCCGUUAGCUUGCAUGGUGGAGUUGUUGUACACGGCGCAUUGCACUGUUAAUUACUUGUUUGGUAUAUGGUUCUCAUGGUGGGUACAUAAAUUACUUUCCAAGUUUUUUUAAACAUUCAAGGUCUUGUUGAAUGUGAUAAAUGAAGUAUUAAUUCAUCUGUACUUUUUCUUACACAGCUUCUAAUCUGUGUGGUGAUUUGUCUUCAGCUGGUAAUGGUGGUGGGUUUCAAGUUCAGGAUUUCUUGUAUUUCAAUUUCUUUCUAUACUUCUAUUUUUAGUGCAGAAGUAUUUUGGACAUCUCAUUGACCGAGAUUCUGCGAACUGACCAUGUUUGUUGGCUUCUAGGCAGGUGCGUGACUGUUACAGUGUAAUUGUUUAAGAGGCAUAUGUGGGGUUCUGUGGGGAGAAUGCUUGUAUUAAUCUUUUCCCUUCCUUUGCUUUUUGUAGCUGAAUGUUAAUCAGGCUCGUUUGUUGGUUUUGGUGAGAUUGCUGUGCAAUUAAGUCUGGGUGCAUGUUUAGUUUAGUUGGUGCCGAUUACUAUUUUCCUGCUUUUUGCAUUUGGUUAGGUGCGGAGAUGAUUAGAAGGCAGAGUGAUUGCUACUGUUGCUUUCUAAAUUGUAGAAAAUAGAGUACAGGUUGGGGUUUACUUUACGUUGAAGUAACAAUGUCGACGUGACGUGACGAAGUUCCUUCAAAUAAGCACAUUGUUUUGAAUAUCGACGUGGCGUAACGUAAUAAAGCACGUGUCAAUGGAAUCGCUACGCUACGCAGUUGGCUUAAUCAGAGAGAAGCUAUUUCAGACAAUGAGCAAGGCACUUGAAAGUUACCAGAUUAACUAGCUGAGCAAGCACAGGGAAGUGAUCUGGUGUUUAAAAACGCAGACACAGAUAUAUCCGGAUAUUCCUUACUCCUUUGAGAACAAUUGCCGCUUCCUAAUUUUGUAUAUGUCCCGCCCUUUGUUACCAGUCGUAACAUAUGCAUAUUAAAGUAGUAAAUCGUGUUUACUUUUCUUUUCGAGCUUGAACUGCAGAGUUGUGCAGUGGUAAAACGUAACCAACCUCCCUGCAAAUGCAUGUGGUUGUGUAAGAGUGUCCUGCCUUUACUGCGUAGGAAAUCAUAUGCAAAAAUGGUUUGGUUUCCUAUAAAAGUAUCGAAGUAGGCUUUUUAAAUUUUCACAUGUUUGUUGAGUAUGAGGUAAGGUACGAAUCUAUUUUUGAUACACAGAUACGGAUAUACGAUAGGGGAACGGGUUUUACUCUAAUUUUUUUGACAAACUUUUACCCUGUCCAUCAGCCCUCUGUUAUCUGUUAUACAAUGAUAUCAGCCCAUGUGUAUCCAGCAUGUGUACGUAUCUACCUGCCACUAUAUAAAUGGGUGUGUACUAAAACUUUUAAAUUGUAUUUCGGUGUUCUUUUGCAACAGACAUUUUGGACGGCU
Daphnia carinata is the source of this 1859-nucleotide long non-coding RNA. RefSeq lists it as uncharacterized. The record is from RefSeq and is a predicted model, not a curated record. NCBI's taxonomy places the organism in Eukaryota, Metazoa, Arthropoda, Branchiopoda, Diplostraca, Daphniidae. The transcript has 4 exons.